AAGAAACCUCAAGGGGGGUCUCUGAGAUUAUCCCAAAAACUCUAUACUGCCAUCUUGCUCCUCUCGUUCUAGCUGGCCCAGUAGCAGAAAAAAUCAAGCAACUUUUUGACUUCCAGCAGAGGAGAGAUAAGCAAUUGAGAAUUUCAUCUAAGUGCGGUUGGCUUUCAGCAUUGGAAGUCCUAGUGCUUGUGUUGGUGCUGUCAGAUUGGAAUUUCUGGACGCUAGUGGGAGAACUAUCCAGACCAAUUGGACAGGUCCCUCCAAGCAAUACUGAUAGAAGCAUUCUUCCAUGGCUGUAUGUGAAGUAGGAAACAAGAUUGAAAAUCUUGAUGUUUCACAAACCAGGAAGGAAAAUGCAUCAGUUCAGAUAAAGGUUUUGUUUUUCGCCAGGGCCAGAGAUCUGACUGGCUUAAGUGACAUGCAAUUUGAAGUUUCAUCUGGUAGUACUGCCUCUGAUUGCUUAGAUAAAGUCAUUGCCAAAUUCCCUGGUUUAAAAGAGAUCCGAGGAUGUAUGGUCCUGGCUCUCAAUGAAGAGUACAUUGAAGAGUCUGUUAUUGUCAAAGAUAGAGAUGAAUUGGCCAUCAUUCCUCCCAUAAGCGGUGGGUAACUAUUCUAGUACAGCCGUUAUGUUUGCAAGUGUCUAAAUAAAUGUUGAAUACAGGCCAUUCCGUGUAACCCUAUGUUGAGUAAUAUUUCAAUGUUUUUGUGUAAUUUGAGAUAAUUCAAUAAUUGGAUCUGUAGAUUUUUAUGGACAUUGUCUCACAACAGUCCUUUAUGGUCAUUUUCCAUUACUUAUCAGAUGGGGGGCCUUUUGACUAGCAAUUUUACUGCAUAGCUUUUUCCCCCUCUUGAAUUUGGUAAAGUUGGACCAAAUUUGUCUAUAAGGAGGUGACAUCUUAUUGUGCAA
Coffea arabica (coffee) is the source of this 907-nucleotide non-coding RNA. NCBI's taxonomy places the organism in Eukaryota, Viridiplantae, Streptophyta, Magnoliopsida, Gentianales, Rubiaceae. The record is from RefSeq and is a predicted model, not a curated record.